This 29-nucleotide non-coding RNA is filed under the name Rattus norvegicus (Norway rat). Lineage: Eukaryota; Metazoa; Chordata; Mammalia; Rodentia; Muridae. The record is from RNAcentral.
UGGGAAGGUGAUAGCUUUGUGCACUGUCU